Long non-coding RNA from Lolium perenne, 1207 nucleotides. RefSeq lists it as uncharacterized. Lineage: Eukaryota; Viridiplantae; Streptophyta; Magnoliopsida; Poales; Poaceae. The record is from RefSeq and is a predicted model, not a curated record.
GGGCCGUCGCCCCCCCAGCAAAAACAAGAUUUUACUAGUACCCAGUAGUAUUUUCGGCCCAUAAGAGGGAUAAGGCCUUAUCUCUUUUCCCCUUCCUAGUCUGCAUCGUUGGUUCGAAAAAAAAGGCUCGUCUGCAUCGACGUGAGGACGUCAGCAACCGCGCUCCUGAUGCCGGUCGACCGCAUCCCGUUCCUCUGCCUCCAGCGCUGCUUCUCCGUUGGAGCUCCACCAUCUCCUCUCAAUCUGCUGCUCGCCCAAUCCCACCUCCAGGGUGCCCGCUCGCUCGAAGUGCCUCCCGGCGACCUCGGCUGAAUGUUGCAGCUGCGAGCUACUGCCUACCGGCCGGCCGGCCAGCGAGCCAGCGAGGAGAACCCUCUCCGUUCUACGAGUUUCCCACCAGCUGCUAGCUGCUGGUAGGAAGUACUGAUGGGCAGGCCGCAUGGGCAAAACCAUUAAUUCAUUUUACAAAAAAGUGAGAGAUGAAUUUGAAGUUAAUGAAGUAAUUCCUAAACGUGAAGAACCAGUGUUUGUUCAUGUCCAUCCCCAUCUCUUGUUGCUCAAAUAUGAACAACAAAAUUAGAAAGAGAAGGUUACAUCGUACCCACUGAUCAAAGAGAUGAUGUAGUGUAAUAAUUAAUUAUAAUACUACAUGGUUCUAUGACAACCUGUAGCACAUCACAUAGUUCUUUUGUUCUGGAGUAGUUUAGGCAUAUAUUGCUGCUAGAAGUUUAUUUUGUGGAAAAAUCAAUCCAAUUAUAUCAGUUUCUAAAAAUACUAUAAAUUCUAGCUUGUUGCUGCAUAAUUUCAUUUUCCAUAAAAUUUACAUGUUAUUUUCGCGGCUUCGCCCUCCCAAAGAUUUUCUGCAAGGUCCGCCACUGUGUAGGAGGACAGGUAGUUGUGAUCCCCCAAUUUCCUGCAAGAGGCCAUAAUUUAGACGUCAAAAGGUUCUCGUUCGCUGUUAUUCAAAAAAAAAAAGAUUCUCAUUCAGAUAGGUCAAAAGAGAGCAAAUAAGAGCAUGCUUAAAUAGUUAAAAGGUAUACUUACCUUGGUUGUAUCGCGUAUAGCAAAUUGAAUGCAAAUGCCAAGAAGGAGGGUUGUUCCGGUGCUCCCCUAAACUAAGUUGAAGGGUUAUAAUUGGGUUUUUUUUUCCAUGUGUUGGGUCCGCCAAAACCAAUAUCCAACCUAUAUACCAGUCUGUAUUGAUACA